This 67-nucleotide transfer RNA is filed under the name Marmota monax (woodchuck). RNAcentral describes it as "tRNA.Ala". The record is from RNAcentral. Lineage: Eukaryota; Metazoa; Chordata; Mammalia; Rodentia; Sciuridae.
GGCUGUAGCUCAGUAGUAGAGUGCUUGCCUAGCAUGUGUGAGGCCCUGAGUUCAAUCCCCAGCACCA